Molecule: ribosomal RNA, 381 nt
Filed under: Triticum aestivum (bread wheat)
Lineage: Eukaryota; Viridiplantae; Streptophyta; Magnoliopsida; Poales; Poaceae
Description: partial small subunit ribosomal RNA
Source: RNAcentral
AGAAAAUAUGUGGGCUCAAAGGCGUUGUCCCAAGUAUAUUGGAAGCCUGGGGACUCACACUUUUGGGCUGAUCUAACGGCUGUGAAGAAACAUUUAUUCUGCUAUGGAUCCUUCGCCAUUAAAGACGGAUCGGGGAUUAGGUUCUGGGAGGAUAAGUGGCUAGGCAAUGCCACUCUCCGGGAACAACAUCCUGCCCUAUACAAUAUUGUGCGUCACAAGGAUGGUACUAUCGCCACGGUUAUGGAAUCCAUUCCGCUCAAUGUGACGUUCAGGAGAGAUUUAAUUGGUCCUAGACUUGAAUCAUGGAAACCUUGGUACAACGUCUAUCCACGGUGCAAUUGUCGCAAGGGACUGAUGUAUUUCGUUGGAACCUACACGUGA